Molecule: long non-coding RNA, 2222 nt
Filed under: Gallus gallus (chicken)
Lineage: Eukaryota; Metazoa; Chordata; Aves; Galliformes; Phasianidae
Description: lncRNA (ENSGALG00010017879.1)
Source: RNAcentral
AUUUCUUCCUUCUAUGGAAACCAACGAGCACCCGGGCCUGCACUCUUGAUAUAAAUACCCGGUGAUGACCGACUUAUUGCGGGCGACCGGGCGACGAAUCCACCGUUGGGACAGCACUGCCGGUGUCAGGCCGUAGCUGGAAGGUCAGGAGCUGAGGAGAAUAUGAAGGGCUCCCAUCAUGCUGCUGAGUGCCCCUCCUCUCCUGGCCGUACGCUGAGGGCAGGUGGAGGCAGGGACAAGGGUCAGGAGCAAGGGCAGAAUGAUUUUUUGCUUUCUCAGUCUUCCUAGAAAGAAAGAAAGAAAAAAAAUCUAAAAUCUUUAAGAUAUGUGUGGGAUCUGUUGAGUCACGGCCUGAACCACGGAUUGAUCACCUGUGGAAAGGACCCAGUCAGCCCUGAGAGCACAGGUGAAAGCAAUUCAUGUGUGUGAAUGGAAGGAGGGGAGCCUGGCUGCAGCUCUCUUAGAUCUCAUUUAAGGGCUGACUGCUGCUGGGGAGGAUCUUUGCCUGGUGAGCCCUCCUUGGUGAAGCUUCUUCCUGUGAAUCUGGAAUUUUCUGGUACAGGGGAGCAAUCUUCUUCCCUUCCUUUAUAGCACCUCUCUGUUGUGUGAUGACAGAAGGACUAGCACCUCCGUUGUAUUGCUUUUCCUAUUGUACUGAUCUGUCUAAUUGCUACAGUGUAUCUACUAAAAGCAAAAGAAUAUCAAGCAAAAUGAACUUUAUUGCCCUUUUAAGGAUACAGUAUAGUACACUUCAGAAAUACCCUCUCAUCUGUAAUUAUUCUUAAACCCCAGAAAUUUUCAUACUAGAAUUGGUUCUAGCAAUUAUCUCUUCAAGGCUCUCUCUCAAUCUGUUAAUUAACUAUUUGAAUUUUUUUCCUUACAUCAAAAUCUUUUGUUACUAAACAGGCUGAUUGUGUUUUCUGCAGGUGGAUUUGCCACAAGGUUUCUUACAAUGACUAACAGUAGAAGGAAAUGUGCUCUGAAGGGGUGUGCUUGCAAGUCGGCUCAAGAGAAAUGAAAAUCGUUGUAGCGGGGACCCUGCCUGGGAGCAGAGCAUUACCAAAUACGUUACUAUGCAAAGAAUCUCAUGUUGAAUAAUUUAGAAAUACCUUUUUGUUAGUGGUCAAGUAAAACAUGGCAACAGAGGGUAAUCUCAGGAAAAAGAGGGGAUAAAAACAUCUCUAUCAAGCCCAGACUUGAUGGGAAAGGAAGAGCUGAACAAGUGUGCGUGUCUGGGGGUGUUCAUCUUCUAGACUGCACCCAGAGAAGGAGAAUGAUUGUGAUGCUGCAGUCUCGGAACUCCAGUCAGUACACAAAUGGAAGGAUUUCUGGGCUGAGAUGAAUUUAUCUCCGCAGCUUCUAAUCUUUUGGAUUUUGUGUUCUAGUGCAGUGAAGCUUUUGGGCAUGAUUUAUCAUCACUAUAGCUAACACUGUAUGGGAAAAAAACUGACCUUAGAUCUUACAUCAAAGCUUUUAACAAAGCUUGUUUCCCUGGAUUUUACUUGCUUUCCAUUGUCUCCACCUCUCUGGUGCCUCUUUAAAAUAUAUGCCUAAUCUGAAAGCUGAGUGCAAGAAAUAUUUGUCUGACUUGUUUGCUCCCAUUCCGAAUCUUAUAAACACUAGUCUCUGUUGUGAAGGAGUCAUGUAUCAUUAAGAGUAAAUCUUUCUCGUACAAAAGCAAGAAAACAGAAGCAGUUCAAAUGUUGCUUCUUACAGCAGUACAGCAUCUCAGAACAGAGAAAAACACGGCUUGCAGAAACUUGAUUUCUGUCUUAUCAAAACAGAUCUUCAGCUAGUCUCAGUUGUCUUAGAUCUGACUCCUUCAAAGAAGUGAUUAUAAUUGAUAACUCCAGUCUCACCACAUCAGAGUUUUCACCUAUCAGUUGUGUGCAAGGAGAGUGACAGUACUGGCACACACAUCUUGGCGCUGAUGGUUCGAGAUGGCCAUAGAAUCAUAGAAUGGCCCAGGUUGAAAACGACCGCAAUGACCAUCGAGUUUCAAUGCCCCUGCUAUGUGCAGGGUCGCCAACCACCAGAGCAGGCUGCCCAGAGCCACUUCCAGCCUGGCCUUGGAUGCCCCAUCCCUGGAUGCAUUCACAACCUCCUUGGGCAACCUGUUCCAGUGCAUCACCACCCUCUGGGUGAAAAACUUCCUCCUAAUAUCUAACCUAAGCCAGCCCUGUCUCAGUUUAAGACUAUUCCUCCUUAUCCUACCACUUUCC